GACGUAGGGCGCGAGCGUUGUCCGGAUUUAUUGGGCGUAAAGAGCUCGUAGGCGGCUUGUCGCGUCGACCGUGAAACCUCACAGCUCAACUGUGAGCCUGCGGUCGAUACGGGCAGGCUAGAGUUCGGUAGGGGAGACCGGAAUUCCUGGUGUAGCGGUGAAAUGCGCAGAUAUCAGGAGGAACACCGGUGGCGAAGGCGGGUCUCUGGGCCGAUACUGACGCUGAGGAGCGAAAGCGUGGGGAGCGAACAGG
This 253-nucleotide ribosomal RNA is filed under the name uncultured bacterium. RNAcentral's name for it is "partial 16S ribosomal RNA". It matches the Rfam family "Bacterial small subunit ribosomal RNA", at positions 524 to 776 of the family's 1533-position model. The record is from RNAcentral.